Molecule: transfer RNA, 62 nt
Filed under: Rhizobiales bacterium GAS113
Lineage: Bacteria; Pseudomonadati; Pseudomonadota; Alphaproteobacteria; Hyphomicrobiales
Rfam family: tRNA
About the family: Transfer RNA (tRNA) molecules are approximately 80 nucleotides in length. Their secondary structure includes four short double-helical elements and three loops (D, anti-codon, and T loops).
Source: Rfam by way of RNAcentral
GCUGGCGUAGAACCGUUGCCCUCCGAAGGCAAAGGCCAGGGGUUCGAAUCCCUUCGGGCGCG